This 497-nucleotide ribosomal RNA is filed under the name uncultured bacterium. Its description in RNAcentral is "partial 16S ribosomal RNA". It matches the Rfam family "Bacterial small subunit ribosomal RNA", at positions 28 to 507 of the family's 1533-position model. The record is from RNAcentral.
GAUGAACGCUGGCGGCGUGCCUAAUACAUGCAAGUCGAGCGAACAGAUGAGGAGCUUGCUCCUCUGACGUUAGCGGCGGACGGGUGAGUAACACGUGGAUAACCUACCUAUAAGACUGGGAUAACUUCGGGAAACCGGAGCUAAUACCGGAUAAUAUAUUGAACCGCAUGGUUCAAUAGUGAAAGACGGUUUUGCUGUCACUUAUAGAUGGAUCCGCGCCGCAUUAGCUAGUUGGUAAGGUAACGGCUUACCAAGGCAACGAUGCGUAGCCGACCUGAGAGGGUGAUCGGCCACACUGGAACUGAGACACGGUCCAGACUCCUACGGGAGGCAGCAGUAGGGAAUCUUCCGCAAUGGGCGAAAGCUUGACGGAGCAACGCCGCGUGAGUGAUGAAGGUCUUCGGCUCGUAAAACUCUGUUAUUAGGGAAGAACAAAUGUGUAAGUAACUAUGCACGUCUUGACGGUACCUAAUCAGAAAGCCACGGCUAACUACGUG